CAGUAGCCGCGGUAAUACGGAGGGUGCAAGCGUUAAUCGGAAUUACUGGGCGUAAAGCGCACGCAGGCGGUCUGACAAGUCAGAUGUGAAAUCCCCGGGCUUAACCUGGGAACUGCAUUUGAAACUGUCAGGCUGGAGUCUUGUAGAGGGGGGUGGAAUUCCAGGUGUAGCGGUGAAAUGCGUAGAGAUCUGGAGGAAUACCGGUGGCGAAGGCGGCCCCCUGGACAAAGACUGACGCUCAGGUGCGAAAGCGUGGGGAGCAAACAGGAUUAGAUACCCGUGUAGUCCCUGUCUUCUUAUA
Molecule: ribosomal RNA, 301 nt
Filed under: uncultured bacterium
Lineage: Bacteria
Description: partial 16S ribosomal RNA
Rfam family: Bacterial small subunit ribosomal RNA
Source: RNAcentral